RNAcentral lists this long non-coding RNA (2269 nucleotides) under Piliocolobus tephrosceles (Ugandan red Colobus). RNAcentral describes it as "lncRNA (ENSPTEG00000007924.1)". Lineage: Eukaryota; Metazoa; Chordata; Mammalia; Primates; Cercopithecidae. The record is from RNAcentral.
UAGAUGUACUUUACCUUCUAAUUUUGAUUGUACUUAUUGUUAUGCUUUAGGUUAUAAUGCUGGAUUAUUAAUAGAUCAUAAAAAAACAGGUUAUAUGUCUAUUAUUCAAAAUUUACAUGAUAUUUAUGAGAAUUGGAUACCUGGAGGCAUACCAUUUUUAAGGAUGAUGCAUGUAAAUAAAGACAAUGCAGGUAAUAAAUUUCCUGCAGUUAAACGUUAUUUAGUAGAUUUAGAUAGUCCUUUAGUUAAUGUAUUGAAUGAGGUUCGUUCUAUUUGGGCUUUAUAUGAUUUAUAUAGAUCUCCAGGUCCAAUUCAGUUUAAUGGAUAUUUGAGUAAUUCACGAUGUUAUACUGUAAAAGUACCUACAAAAGAUAUAUUAUUAUGUCGAAAUAAUGAUGAUUUACAAUUAAUUAUUAAUUCUACAAAUCAGGAUUUGGAGAAUCUAAAACGAGCAUCGUCUGUUGAAGAGUGUGAUAGUGAAUAUACCGCGACGAAUAAUGGUAUUUGUGAUAGUUCCGGAUUAAGUGACAUUUGUUACGGAUUAAAUUCAUCUAAUGAAACAAUAUUAAAUUAUAAUUUAAAUUUAUCUACAUGUGAUAAGAAAGAAAUAUAUGAAAAGAAUAGUACAUGUUACAAAUCGCUAGGUUGUAUGUCCGAAUUGCAAACAGCAAGAUUGUAUAGUCGAAUUGAGUUGCCAGAAUUAUGUACCGAUUUGAAAGCGAAAGUAAGAGCAGGUAAACAGUACAUAUCAAAUGAUCCAUAUACACAGAAACAGAUUUUAUCGAAUUAUCCUCAUCUUGCACAUGAAAAUAAAUUUCAAAUUCAAGAAGUGUUUCAUGACAAGAAUGCAAUUCCUGUUACAUUUGAAAUAAAGAUAGGUAUUGUUUUUUUAUCUAGACAAGCGCCUGGUGCAAUGAAUGUAUUGUGUGGUUUAUAUAACAGAUUAAAGUUGUUAAAUGGAGUAUGUAUUGCAUUUUAUGGAUUAUACGGUUUAUUGAAUAAUAAAUAUGUAAUUAUUAACGAUGAAAAUAUAGCGAAACAUAUUAAUCAAGGUGGUUUAGAGUUAACUGGUAAUUCACCUGAACAUUCACUUUUUGAUAAAGAAAAUAGAAAUAAGGUAUGUAAAACAGUAACAAACUUACAAUUGAAUGGUUUAGUUAUGCCAGGUUCUAAUAUAACAAUAACAGAAGCUUCUUUAUUAGCAGAAUAUUUUUUGGAAAAAAAAAUACCAACUUGUGUAGUUGGUAUUCCUUUAACAGGUUCAAACAAUUUAAUACAUGAAUUGAUUGAAACAUGUGUUGGUUUUGAUAGUAGUACAAAAGUAUAUGCUUCACUUAUUGGUAAUGUAUUAACAGAUGCAGUAAGUAUGCCCAAGUAUUGGCAUUUCAUACGUUUGAUGGGAAGAAGUCCAUCACAUGAAGUACUAGAAUGUGCAUUACAAACCCAUCCAAAUGUAGUUAUCAUUGCUGAAGAAUAUGGAGCAGCAGAUAAAACUUUAUGGAGGGUAGUACAAGAUAUAGCAGAUGUAGUUUGUGCUAGAGCUGAACUAGGGAAAAAUUAUGGUACUAUUUUAAUUCCUGAUGCUUUAUUUAUGCAUUUACCACAUAUGAAAAUAUUAUUGACAGAGAUAAGUGACAUAUUAAACGAAGCAUCAGAAAAAGGUGAAUUAGAAGAGGCACAAAGUGAAUUAGUAAAUUUAUCUAUAAAUGAUAAAAAAAUAUUAUCUACUGACCCAAAUGGUACUAUUUCGUUUAUUAAUAAUCCAAAAUCAUCACAGUGGAUAUCUAAAUUAACACCCUGGAGUUCAGCUUUAUUAAAAACAUUUCCUGAAUUUAUAAUAAAAGAAUUGUUACAAGUAGAUUUAAGAUCUAUGCGUUUUGAAAAACUAGAAACAGAGCAAUUAUUAUUACAAAUGGUAAAGGAAGAAUUACAUCAGAGAAAGGAGAAAGGAAAAUAUGUAGGUAGUUUUAUGGGAUUAACACAUUUUUUUGGAUAUCAAGGACGUUCUUCUUUACCAUCAGAAUUUGAUUGUAAGUUAGCAUAUGCAUAUGGUCAUGCUGCUUCUAUUGUUGUAGAAUGUAAUUUAACAGGUUAUAUAGUUUCAAUUAGAGGUUUAUGUGGUGCUGUAAAUGAUUGGAAAUUGUUUGCUAUACCUUUAAUAUCUUUAAUGAAGAUAUUACCAAAAGGUCAAGGAAAUAAACAUUUGAAAGGUGCAUCGAAAGGGGAUUUACCAGUUAUACCUAGUGCACCUGUAGAUUUAAAUGGGAAA